UGGGGAAUAUUGCACAAUGGGCGAAAGCCUGAUGCAGCGACGCCGCGUGAGGGAUGACGGCCUUCGGGUUGUAAACCUCUUUCAGUAGGGACGAAUCGCAAGUGACGGUACCUGCAGAAGAAGCACCGGCUAACUACGUGCCAGCAGCCGCGGUAAUACGUAGGGUGCGAGCGGUGUCCGGAAUUACUGGGCGUAAAGAGCUUGUAGGCGGUUUGUUACGUCGUCUGUGAAAUCCUAGGGCUUAACCCUGGACGUGCAGGCGAUACGGGCUGACUUGAGUACUACAGGGGAGACUGGAAUUUCUGGUGUAGCGGUGGAAUGCACAGAUAUCAGGAAGAACACCGAUGGCGAAGGCAGGUCUCUGGGUAGUAACUGACGCUGAGGAGCGAAAGCAUGGGUAGCGAACAGG
This 409-nucleotide ribosomal RNA is filed under the name bacterium. RNAcentral's name for it is "partial 16S ribosomal RNA". It matches the Rfam family "Bacterial small subunit ribosomal RNA", at positions 355 to 776 of the family's 1533-position model. The record is from RNAcentral.